GCUUGUCUCAAAGAUUAAGCCAUGCAUGUCUAAGUAUAAACAAAUUUGUACUGUGAAACUGCGAAUGGCUCAUUAAAUCAGUUAUAGUUUAUUUGAUAAUACCUUACUACUUGGAUAACCGUGGUAAUUCUAGAGCUAAUACAUGCAUAAAAGCCCGACUUCUGGAAGGGUGCACUUAUUAGAUAAAGCCAACGCUGGGUAAAACCAGUUUCCCUUGGUGAUUCAUAAUAAUUAAGCGGAUCGCAUGGCCUUGUGCUAGCGACAGUCCACUCGAUUUUCUGCCCUAUCAUGGUUGAGAUUGUAAGAUAGAGGCUUACAAUGCCUACAACGGGUAACGGGGAAUUAGGGUUCGAUUCCGGAGAGGGAGCCUGAGAAACGGCUACCACAUCCAAGGAAGGCAGCAGG
RNAcentral lists this ribosomal RNA (405 nucleotides) under Mucor irregularis. RNAcentral describes it as "partial small subunit ribosomal RNA". It matches the Rfam family "Eukaryotic small subunit ribosomal RNA", at positions 30 to 432 of the family's 1831-position model. The record is from RNAcentral. Lineage: Eukaryota; Fungi; Mucoromycota; Mucoromycetes; Mucorales; Mucoraceae.